GUCGGCAGAGGACGACGUCAGCGGUGGGUUCUUUCCGGAGGAGCCAAAUGGGUCGGGGCUGUUAGACGAAGUGAUUCAAGGGUUUCUCCCGAAACCGGCAGAAAAGGUGUACUCUGAGUUUCCCGGAAACUCAAAUUUCUCACCGGCGGCCAGCAACGUUAAGAUGGAGCGGCCGGCAACGUACAUUGACGUAGAAGGAUAUGGUAACGGCGGAUGUGAUCUGGAAUACUAUCAAAGGAUGCAUCAGGACUACUAUGGUAAUCAAGUGUUCGCGGCGGAGGAGGAUUGUGAUUCGAUUUAUCAGUACACGGCGACGGCGGCGGCAAGGAUUCAUCAGAAUGCUUAUGCUAAUUUGUACUAGCUAUAGCCGUAAAUAAUAUAUUUAAGUGUCUAAUUAUUUCCUUAGCGGUAAAAUCAAGCUUUUGAUUGAGUGAAAGAAGGCUAAUUAGUAGCCUUUUUUUAACAUCAAAAAUGAAAUAUAUUAUCGUUUAUGUUAU
Molecule: long non-coding RNA, 497 nt
Filed under: Linum usitatissimum (flax)
Lineage: Eukaryota; Viridiplantae; Streptophyta; Magnoliopsida; Malpighiales; Linaceae
Description: long non-coding RNA (LUSI_LNC007212)
Source: RNAcentral